RNAcentral lists this ribosomal RNA (253 nucleotides) under uncultured bacterium. RNAcentral's name for it is "partial 16S ribosomal RNA". It matches the Rfam family "Bacterial small subunit ribosomal RNA", at positions 524 to 776 of the family's 1533-position model. The record is from RNAcentral.
UACGUAGGGUGCAAGCGUUGUCCGGAAUUAUUGGGCGUAAAGAGCUCGUAGGCGGUUUGUCACGUCGGGAGUGAAAACCUGGGGCUUAACCCCGGGCCUGCUUUCGAUACGGGCAGACUAGAGUUCGGCAGGGGAGACUGGAAUUCCUGGUGUAGCGGUGAAAUGCGCAGAUAUCAGGAGGAACACCGGUGGCGAAGGCGGGUCUCUGGGCCGAUACUGACGCUGAGGAGCGAAAGCGUGGGGAGCGAACAGG